UAAACGACUCUCGGCAACGGAUAUCUCGGCUCUCGCAUCGAUAAAGAACGUAGCGAAAUGCGAUACUUGGUGUGAAUUGCAGAAUCCCGCGAACCAUCGAGUCUUUGAACGCAAGUUGCGCCCGAAGCCAUUAGGUUGAGGGCACGCCUGCCUGGGCGUCUCAC
Molecule: ribosomal RNA, 164 nt
Filed under: Camellia formosensis
Lineage: Eukaryota; Viridiplantae; Streptophyta; Magnoliopsida; Ericales; Theaceae
Description: Camellia sinensis f. formosensis 5.8S ribosomal RNA
Rfam family: 5.8S ribosomal RNA
About the family: 5.8S ribosomal RNA (5.8S rRNA) is a component of the large subunit of the eukaryotic ribosome. It is transcribed by RNA polymerase I as part of the 45S precursor that also contains 18S and 28S rRNA.
Source: RNAcentral